CGCACAGCGAAAGGUGCUUGCACCUUUCAAGUGAGUGGCGAACGGGUGAGUAACACGUGGACAACCUGCCUCAAGGCUGGGGAUAACAUUUGGAAACAGAUGCUAAUACCGAAUAAAACUUAGUGUCGCAUGACACAAAGUUAAAAGGCGCUUCGGCGUCACCUAGAGAUGGAUCCGCGGUGCAUUAGUUAGUUGGUGGGGUAAAGGCCUACCAAGACAAUGAUGCAUAGCCGAGUUGAGAGACUGAUCGGCCACAUUGGGACUGAGACACGGCCCAAACUCCUACGGGAGGCUGCAGUAGGGAAUCUUCCACAAUGGGCGAAAGCCUGAUGGAGCAACGCCGCGUGUGUGAUGAAGGCUUUCGGGUCGUAAAGCACUGUUGUAUGGGAAGAACAGCUAGAAUAGGAAAUGAUUUUAGUUUGACGGUACCAUACCAGAAAGGGACGGCUAAAUACGUGCCAGCAGCCGCGGUAAUACGUAUGUCCCGAGCGUUAUCCGGAUUUAUUGGGCGUAAAGCGAGCGCAGACGGUUUAUUAAGUCUGAUGUGAAAGCCCGGAGCUCAACUUCGGAAUGGCAUUGGAAACUGGUUAACUUGAGUGCAGUAGAGGUAAGUGGAACUCCAUGUGUAGCGGUGGAAUGCGUAGAUAUAUGGAAGAACACCAGUGGCGAAGGCGGCUUACUGGACUGCAACUGACGUUGAGGCUCGAAAGUGUGGGUAGCAAACAGGAUUAGAUACCCUGGUAGUCCACACCGUAAACGAUGAACACUAGGUGUUAGGAGGUUUCCGCCUCUUAGUGCCGAAGCUAACGCAUUAAGUGUUCCGCCUGGGGAGUACGAC
Molecule: ribosomal RNA, 838 nt
Filed under: Leuconostoc lactis
Lineage: Bacteria; Bacillati; Bacillota; Bacilli; Lactobacillales; Lactobacillaceae
Description: bacterial SSU rRNA
Rfam family: Bacterial small subunit ribosomal RNA
Source: RNAcentral